This 485-nucleotide ribosomal RNA is filed under the name uncultured bacterium. RNAcentral describes it as "partial 16S ribosomal RNA". It matches the Rfam family "Bacterial small subunit ribosomal RNA", at positions 899 to 1397 of the family's 1533-position model. The record is from RNAcentral.
ACUCAAAUGAAUAGACGGGGGCCCGCACAAGCAGCGGAGCGUGUGGUUUAAUUCGACGCAACGCGCAGAACCUUACCAGGGUUUGACAUUGCUCUGCAAGCCGUGGAGACACGGUCCUCCCGCAAGGGACGGAGUGACAGAUGCUGCAUGGCUGUCGUCAGCUCGUGCCGUGAGGUGUUGGGUUAAGUCCCGCAACGAGCGCAACCCGCGUGGCUAGUUACACUCUCUAGCCAGACUGCCGCGACUAACGCGGAGGAAGGUGCGGAUGACGUCAAGUCAGCACGGCUCUUACAUCCUGGGCUACACACACGCUACAAUGGGCGGUACAACGGGCAGCGAAGCCGCGAGGCGAAGCCAAUCCCAUCAAAGCCGCCCCCAGUUCAGAUCGCAGUCUGCAACCCGACUGCGUGAAGGCGGAGUUGCUAGUAACCGCAGGUCAGCACACUGCGGUGAAUACGUUCCCGGGCCUUGUACACACCGCCCGU